GGACCGCUAGCUCAGUGGUAGAGCAACCGGCUGCAGCGUUCCAACCCGAUCUUUCGGACUGGAGCAGUGGUUCCGGUAGGUCUCGUGUUCAACUCACGAGCGGUCCU
Podospora conica is the source of this 107-nucleotide non-coding RNA. Lineage: Eukaryota; Fungi; Ascomycota; Sordariomycetes; Sordariales; Podosporaceae. The record is from the annotation of a GenBank genome assembly.